AGAGUUUGAUCAUGGCUCAGGACGAACGCUGGCGGCGUGCCUAAUACAUGCAAGUCGAGCGAAUCAAUGGGAGCUUGCUCCCAUUGAUUAGCGGCGGACGGGUGAGUAACACGUGGGUAACCUGCCUGUAAGACUGGGAUAACUUCGGGAAACCGGAGCUAAUACCGGAUAGUUUCUUUUCUCGCAUGAGAGAAGAUGGAAAGAUGGUUUCGGCUAUCACUUACAGAUGGACCCGCGGCGCAUUAGCUAGUUGGUGAGGUAAUGGCUCACCAAGGCAACGAUGCGUAGCCGACCUGAGAGGGUGAUCGGCCACACUGGGACUGAGACACGGCCCAGACUCCUACGGGAGGCAGCAGUAGGGAAUCUUCCGCAAUGGACGAAAGUCUGACGGAGCAACGCCGCGUGAGCGAAGAAGGCCUUCGGGUCGUAAAGCUCUGUUGUUAGGGAAGAACAAGUACAAGAGUAACUGCUUGUACCUUGACGGUACCUAACCAGAAAGCCACGGCUAACUACGUGCCAGCAGCCGGGGUA
RNAcentral lists this ribosomal RNA (531 nucleotides) under uncultured Bacillota bacterium. RNAcentral describes it as "bacterial SSU rRNA". It matches the Rfam family "Bacterial small subunit ribosomal RNA", at positions 8 to 522 of the family's 1533-position model. The record is from RNAcentral. Lineage: Bacteria; Bacillati; Bacillota.